CCCAGGGCUGACACCCUGGGCUACUAUAUGCUGUCCCUUCGGGACU
This is a small RNA of 46 nucleotides. It matches the Rfam family "Acido-Lenti-1 RNA". The record is from Rfam.